This is a long non-coding RNA of Helianthus annuus (common sunflower), 759 nucleotides long. RefSeq lists it as uncharacterized. The record is from RefSeq and is a predicted model, not a curated record. NCBI's taxonomy places the organism in Eukaryota, Viridiplantae, Streptophyta, Magnoliopsida, Asterales, Asteraceae. The transcript has 2 exons.
UUUUCUCUGUUAAAAGGGUGUUUUUACGUCAAUGGCCAAAACGGCUUAUAAGUCGGUUCAAAGACGAGUUCUAAAGAUUUUUGACGCUUUAAAACAUGCUUGAAGAUUUACUGUGUGUUUUUUUUUUAAAUUUAUGUGGGACAGUUUGUUGCAGCUUGAAACUUAUAGAAAAGUAAAAGAUUUAACUUUACAAGCGGACCAUUCGGCCCUUUGAUGUCGCUUCAAAUUCCUGCUCAUAGGCAUAAUAUUUAUCUCACUGUAUUAACUUGUGUCUUCAAUCAACUGUAUAUCUUCUUUAUAAUAGUUAAUAAUAUAAAAAUCUGAACAGAGCUAUGUAAUGGCAAACGUUGGUAUUAGGGAGUAUAAUCAUCAUAUUAUGAGAUAUAGAUUACCAAACCAGUUCCCAUUUCAGCGUUCUUAAACUUAUGAAAGUCCUUGACGUCGACUAUUUAAAGUAUAUAAAGGCGACAGUCUGGUGCAUCUGGGCGAGUCCUAAUAAUGGGGUGUUCGAUCGGAAGAGGAGCUCGCUAGAUAGUGGUGGAGCCGCAGCGAGCGCAACCGUAGCGAGUAUAAUCCUUUACUGAUGGUUUGGGAAUGAGAGAACGAGAAUAGGAAUGCUAGAACGUGUUUGUUUGGGUGGAUGACGGCGUCAUUAUGAUCUUUUUUUUGGCUUUUUGCACUGGUUGUGGAUGUGUGAGAGUGUAACUCUUCAUGGUUCAAUUGUUAUUAAUGUUUGAAGUUCAUAUGUUCACAUGAAUG